CCCUUAGAUGUUCUGGGCUGCACGCGCGCUACACUGAUGCGUUCAACGAGUUUAUGACCUUGCCCGAUAGGGUUGGGUAAUCUUUUUAAAUCGCAUCGUGAUGGGGAUAGAUUAUUGCAAUUAUUAAUCUUCAACGAGGAAUUCCUAGUAAGCGCGAGUCAUCAGCUCGUGCUGAUUACGUCCCUGCCCUUUGUACACACCGCCCGUCGCUCCUACCGAUUGUGUGAUCCGGUGAAUAAUUCGGACUGCAGCAGUGUUCGGUCACGAACGUUGCAGCGGAAAGUUUAGUGAACCUUAUCACUUAGAGGAAGGAGAAGUCGUAACA
RNAcentral lists this ribosomal RNA (325 nucleotides) under uncultured eukaryote. RNAcentral's name for it is "partial 18S ribosomal RNA". It matches the Rfam family "Eukaryotic small subunit ribosomal RNA", at positions 1470 to 1796 of the family's 1831-position model. The record is from RNAcentral.